This 752-nucleotide small RNA is filed under the name Drosophila pseudoobscura pseudoobscura. Its description in RNAcentral is "GA22389". The record is from RNAcentral. Lineage: Eukaryota; Metazoa; Arthropoda; Insecta; Diptera; Drosophilidae.
UUCAGUGUCAAAGGAAGUCAGAACAGAAAACAAAGUUGGUCGAGAAAAAAUGUUCGGGGAAAAAAUAAAUUGAAACGCCUACAAAUAUUGAGAUCAAGUUUCAUUCAAUUGUAAAACAAUUGUUCCAAAGAUAAGGGUAAGAAAAUUAAGCCUGCAACAAUGAUAUCCUGAGUGUUGAAAGAGCUCUUUUUCGGGAGAUUGCUAGAGAAAAGCUGCAAAUAAGAAAAGCUGAAAGCCUUUCUUCAUUGUUUCAGUGUUCAUUCAAUUAUAAAUCAACUGUGUAAAAAAAGCAGGCCACUGACGAUAAAUAUUUUGGCCACUGUUGCGUCAAAUCUUCGGAAGAAAUUCAGCUACCAUGAGAAAGAUAUUACAAGAAAUUGAAGGGAACCAACCACCAGCACCAGCACCUUUCUCAACAGCCAGGGAUUUGCGGGCCAAGAAGCGUGAAUUGGCCAAAGAAAAGGCCGAGGCCAAGAAGGAGUCCUCUGUGAAGAAGUCGCGGAAGCGCAAGUUCACAGAUCCUGUUAGUAUUGACACUGAGUCGAGUGACUCCACUGAUUCCUCGGACUCGGACUACGUUCCGUCCCAAUCUUCAUGGAAAUUUGAGUAGAGUGCAGUGAAGGUCCACCAAUAUUGCUGUCCCGGCAGUAGUUGACAGGUCCUCUGCCUAAAUGAAUAUCGUACCAUUUUAAAUUUUAAUUUCACCAAUAGUACAAAAAGAAAAUAUGUCAAAUAAAUAAUAGCACCGAAAC